Molecule: ribosomal RNA, 1071 nt
Filed under: Salmonella enterica subsp. enterica serovar Hvittingfoss
Lineage: Bacteria; Pseudomonadati; Pseudomonadota; Gammaproteobacteria; Enterobacterales; Enterobacteriaceae
Description: partial 23S ribosomal RNA
Rfam family: Bacterial large subunit ribosomal RNA
Source: RNAcentral
CGGAGGGAAACCGAGUCUUAAUUGGGCGUUAAGUUGCAGGGUAUAGACCCGAAACCCGGUGAUCUAGCCAUGGGCAGGUUGAAGGUUGGGUAACACUAACUGGAGGACCGAACCGACUAAUGUUGAAAAAUUAGCGGAUGACCUGUGGCUGGGGGUGAAAGGCCAAUCAAACCGGGAGAUAGCUGGUUCUCCCCGAAAGCUAUUUAGGUAGCGCCUCGUGAAUUCAUCUCCGGGGGUAGAGCACUGUUUCGGCUAGGGGGCCAUCCCGGCUUACCAACCCGAUGCAAACUGCGAAUACCGGAGAAUGUUAUCACGGGAGACACACGGCGGGUGCUAACGUCCGUCGUGAAGAGGGAAACAACCCAGACCGCCAGCUAAGGUCCCAAAGUCAUGGUUAAGUGGGAAACGAUGUGGGAAGGCCCAGACAGCCAGGAUGUUGGCUUAGAAGCAGCCAUCAUUUAAAGAAAGCGUAAUAGCUCACUGGUCGAGUCGGCCUGCGCGGAAGAUGUAACGGGGCUAAACCAUGCACCGAAGCUGCGGCAGCGACGCUGAUGCGUUGUUGGGUAGGGGAGCGUUCUGUAAGCCUGUGAAGGUGUGUCGUGAGGCAUGCUGGAGGUAUCAGAAGUGCGAAUGCUGACAUAAGUAACGAUAAAGCGGGUGAAAAGCCCGCUCGCCGGAAGACCAAGGGUUCCUGUCCAACGUUAAUCGGGGCAGGGUGAGUCGACCCCUAAGGCGAGGCCGAAAGGCGUAGUCGAUGGGAAACGGGUUAAUAUUCCCGUACUUGGUGUUACUGCGAAGGGGGGACGGAGAAGGCUAUGUUGGCCGGGCGACGGUUGUCCCGGUUUAAGCGUGUAGGUGUGUGUUCCAGGUAAAUCCGGUUCACUUUAACACUGAGGCGUGACGACGAGGCACUACGGUGCUGAAGCAACAAAUGCCCUGCUUCCAGGAAAAGCCUCUAAGCAUCAGGUAACAUCAAAUCGUACCCCAAACCGACACAGGUGGUCAGGUAGAGAAUACCAAGGCGCUUGAGAGAACUCGGGUGAAGGAACUAGGCAAAAUGGUGCCGUAACU